UACGUAGGGGGCGAGCGUUGUCCGGAUUUAUUGGGCGUAAAGAGCUCGUAGGCGGUUCGAUAAGUCGGACGUGAAAUCUCCACGCUCAACGUGGAGGGGCCGUUCGAUACUGUUGUGACUCGAGUCCGGUAGGGGAGUGUGGAAUUCCCGGUGUAGCGGUGAAAUGCGUAGAUAUCUGGAGGAACACCGGUGGCGAAGGCGGCAUCCUGGACCGAGACUGACACUGAGGAGCGAAAGCCAGGGGAGCAAACGGG
RNAcentral lists this ribosomal RNA (254 nucleotides) under uncultured bacterium. RNAcentral's name for it is "partial 16S ribosomal RNA". It matches the Rfam family "Bacterial small subunit ribosomal RNA", at positions 524 to 776 of the family's 1533-position model. The record is from RNAcentral.